CGGCGGGGUGGGAGGUACGGCCCUUUCCCCAGCGAUGCUCUGCCUCUCCUAACAUGGCGGCCUCCGUGAUCCCCACACAUCCUGUCUGGAGCGGAAGUGUGGCCCGUUGCCAUGACGGCGACGUUAGGCCGCCGAGUGGGAAACGUGUGAGCGUCGCGGGAAGCAAGGGAGCGAGCUGCAGGACAGGCAGGGCAAGGCAGGCCCGGCGGGGACCGGUCGAUGACGGACGGAGGAUUCCCGGCCCCAGCGUGCUCGGAGGCAGGCGGCCAGAAGGCGAGAAGCUCAGCCCCGCGCCUGAGUGGCACCGGGACCGGGGAGGAGCCGACGACUCAGCCGGCUUGCCUUGCCUAGCCAGCGAGUUCAUUCCGCCGCGCUCCUCCUGAGCGGCUGGGGAGAGAGACGGCGAGGGGGAGGCGCGGGCAGGGAGCCUCGGCUGACAAAGGGCUGCGGACGGCUCCAAGCAAAACGGCUCGGACGGAGAAGACGGGGAGGAGGAGGCAGCCCGCGCUGCCUUCCCCGGGCGGGGCUUUUUCUCGGAGACUCGCGCAGUCCGUGGAGGAGCGCGAGCAGCUGAGGCUGAGGCUGCAGGGAGAGAGCUCCGCGAGGACGUCCGCCCAGAUGACGGCGCGGUGAAGAAGUGCGCGGAUUUUGUGCGCUGCUGCCCGGGCCGGCGGUUUUCAGCUGUGCUCGGUCGGGAGGACUCCGCCGGGGUUUGUUCCCUCUGACGCACCUCGGGCACCUUGUCUUGGCACUGGCACGGCACGGUGUGGCAGCUGCCUUCGCUGCCUGCCGGGGUUGGUUGGUUUGGUUAGAGGCAGCGAUAGGCUGGGUGUGAUCUGGACAACGAGACCUGUGUGACGACCUGACUGCUGUGAAAUGCUCGCCGGAGCGGCACCCGGACGUCCACUUGCUGCACCUUGAGCGGGAAACACGCAGAGGCCGAGGCGCCGUGCUGACUUGCCGCCUGCGAAUCUCUUCCCCGUAACAAGGUCCGUGCCAGGAAAGUGCAAAGAGUGUGAAUUGACACUUCAGGAUUAUCCUCGAUAGGAAGUUUCUCAGGCUGCGCUUUGAACGCCUCGGGCUGCGGAGAAAACNGCUGGUGAGGCUUCCCAAGGCUUCUGAUUGAGCUUCUCCGCUCCUGAGCCAAUUUAAGUAGGAGACAGGAAUCUCCCUCAGGCAGCAAAGAGACCCUUUGACUGCCCUUCNCCAAGCCCCGUUCCAGCUGGUAAGGAUCGUUUCUCCUCUCACAACUUGCCUUUUGGAGAACGAAGGGAAAGACGGUGAGGUUCCAGCCGGCAGUUCGCCGUGUGCCUCUGAAGUCGCUCCUUGCCUGGUCGAGAGGCUUUUCGUUCUGAGAGCUCUGGGCCUCCGGACUCAGCCCGC
RNAcentral lists this long non-coding RNA (1383 nucleotides) under Salvator merianae (Argentine black and white tegu). RNAcentral's name for it is "lncRNA (ENSSMRG00000009100.1)". The record is from RNAcentral. Lineage: Eukaryota; Metazoa; Chordata; Lepidosauria; Squamata; Teiidae.